ACAGCACAAAUAUUCCUUGAAAGGUAGUUUUAGCAUAGUAUUUGUCGAGGGAGAGGGGCUGACAGCAAUUGGAUCUUGUCACCUUUGGGGGACUGUGGCCAUGCCCUGAAAGUGAAUUUGGAGGUUCUAUACCC
This is a small nucleolar RNA of Talpa occidentalis (Iberian mole), 134 nucleotides long. RefSeq annotates it as small nucleolar RNA SNORA68. The record is from RefSeq and is a predicted model, not a curated record. NCBI's taxonomy places the organism in Eukaryota, Metazoa, Chordata, Mammalia, Eulipotyphla, Talpidae. The transcript has a single exon.